UACGGAGGUGGCAAGCGUUGUUCGGAUUUACUGGGUGUAAAGGUCAUGUAGGUGUUCUAUUAAGUCGGGUGUGAAAUCCCUUGGCUCAACCAAGGAACUGCAUUCGAUACUGAUAGAAUUGAGUACGAGAGAGGUAAGCGGAAUUCCAGAAGUAAGGGUGAAAUCUGUAGAUAUCUGGAAGAACACCAUUAGCGAAGGCGGCUUACUGGCUCGAUACUGACACUGAAAUGAGAAAGCUAGGGGAGCGAACAGG
RNAcentral lists this ribosomal RNA (253 nucleotides) under uncultured bacterium. RNAcentral's name for it is "partial 16S ribosomal RNA". It matches the Rfam family "Bacterial small subunit ribosomal RNA", at positions 524 to 776 of the family's 1533-position model. The record is from RNAcentral.